Molecule: ribosomal RNA, 396 nt
Filed under: uncultured bacterium
Lineage: Bacteria
Description: partial 16S ribosomal RNA
Rfam family: Bacterial small subunit ribosomal RNA
Source: RNAcentral
AAUAUUGGACAAUGGGGGCAACCCUGAUGCAGCGACGCCGCGUGAACGAUGAAGGCUUUCGGGCCGUAAAGUUCUGUCCUAGGGGAUGAUAAUGACGGUACCCCAGGAGGAAGCCCCGGCUAACUACGUGCCAGCAGCCGCGGUAAUACGUAGGGGGCGAGCGUUGUCCGGAAUUAUUGGGCGUAAAGGGUGCGUAGGCGGCCUUUUAAGUCAGAUGUGAAAGCCCACGGCUUAACCGUGGGACUGCAUUUGAAACUGGAGGGCUUGAGUAUCGGAGAGGGUAGUGGAAUUCCCAGUGUAGCGGUGGAAUGCGUAGAUAUUGGGAGGAACACCAGUGGCGAAGGCGACUACCUGGACGAAAACUGACGCUGAGGCACGAAAGCUAGGGGAGCAAAC